This 513-nucleotide ribosomal RNA is filed under the name uncultured organism. RNAcentral's name for it is "SSU rRNA". It matches the Rfam family "Bacterial small subunit ribosomal RNA", at positions 8 to 509 of the family's 1533-position model. The record is from RNAcentral.
AGAGUUUGAUCCUGGCUCAGGAUGAACGCUAGCUACAGGCUUAACACAUGCAAGUCGAGGGGCAGCAUGAAGUUUGCUUGCAAACUUUGAUGGCGACCGGCGCACGGGUGAGUAACGCGUAUCCAACCUUCCCCUUAGUAGGGGAUAGCCCGGUGAAAAUCGGAUUAAUACCCUAUGUUGUUCGACGAGGACAUCUGAGUUGGACCAAAGAUUCAUCGCUAAGGGAUGGGGAUGCGUCUGAUUAGCUUGUUGGCGGGGUAACGGCCCACCAAGGCGACGAUCAGUAGGGGUUCUGAGAGGAAGGUCCCCCCACAUUGGAACUGAGACACGGUCCAAACUCCUACGGGAGGCAGCAGUGAGGAAUAUUGGUCAAUGGGCGCAGGCCUGAACCAGCCAAGUAGCGUGAGGGACGACGGCCCUACGGGUUGUAAACCUCUUUUUCGCGGGGAUAAAGAGCCCUACGUGUGGGGCGUUGCAGGUACCGCGUGAAUAAGGACCGGCUAAUUCCGUGCC